Long non-coding RNA from Oncorhynchus masou masou (cherry salmon), 1599 nucleotides. RefSeq lists it as uncharacterized. The transcript has 3 exons. Lineage: Eukaryota; Metazoa; Chordata; Actinopteri; Salmoniformes; Salmonidae. The record is from RefSeq and is a predicted model, not a curated record.
AGCAGCUGAACAGGAGACCACAGCAGCUCAACAGGAGACCACAGCAGCUCAACGGGUGUUGUGGAAUUAUUGUAAUCAGAAGGAGAGACUUUUACAUUUCCUCAAAACAAGUAACUUUAUUAUGUAAUUACUGCAGUAAUGGAGCUGGUUGGUAACCACCCCUGGAGACCACAGCAGUAAACACAAGAAGCAGAGAGCUGCAGCUCAGACAGUAAUGGAGCUGGUUGGUAACCACCCCUGGAGACCACAGCAGUAAACACAAGAAGCAGAGAGCUGCAGCUCAGACAGUCAUGGAGCUGGUUGGUAACCACCCCUGGAGGUGAUCGCUGAGAACUCAAUGAGCGGAUUUGAGCCACAGCGUUUUAUAGUAAAGUCCAACCUCCUGGAUGUUCAUCACAAACAACAGAUGAGACUACAGCAGAUCGACAGGAGACCACAGCAGCUCAACAGGAAGCUACACAGCAGAUCAACAGGAAGCUACACAGCAGAUCAACAGACCACAGCAGCUCAACAGGAGACCACAGCAGCUCAACAGGAGACCACAGCAGCUGAACAGGAGACCACAGCAGCUCAACAGGAGUCCACAGCAGCUCAACAGGAGUCCACAGCAGCUCAACAGGAGACCACAGCAAAUCAACAGGAGACCACAGCAGCUCAACAGGAGACCACAGCAGCUCAACGGGUGUUGUGGAAUUAUUGUAAUCAGAAGGAGAGACUUUUACAUUUCCUCAAAACAUGUAACUUUAUUAUGUAAUUACUGCAGUAAUGGAGCUGGUUGGUAACCACCCCUGGAGACCACAGCAGUAAACACAAGAAGCAGAGAGCUGCAGCUCAGACAGUAAUGGAGCUGGUUGGUAACCACCCCUGGAGACCACAGCAGUAAACACAAGAAGCAGAGAGCUGCAGCUCAGACAGUAAUGGAGCUGGUUGGUAACCACCCCUGGAGACCACAGCAGUAAACACAAGAAGCAGAGAGCUGCAGCUCAGACAGUAAUGGAGCUGGUUGGUAACCACCCCUGGAGGUGAUCACUGAGAACUCAAUGAGCGGAUUUGAGCCACAGCGUUUUAUAGCAAAGUCCAACCUCCUGGAUGUUCAUCACAAACAACAGAUGAGACUACAGCAGAUCGACAGGAGACCACAGCAGCUCAACAGGAAGCUACACAGCAGAUCAACAGGAAGCUACACAGCAGCUCAACAGGAGACCACAGCAGCUCAACAGGAGACCACAGCAAAUCAACAGGGAGACCACAGCAGAUCAACAGGAGACCGCAGCAGCUUAACAGGAAGCUACACAGCAGAUCAACAGGAAGUUACACAGCAGAUCAACAGGAAGCGACACAGCAGCUAAACAGGAAGCUACACAGCAGAUCAACAGGACACCACAGCAGCUCAACAGGAGACCACAGCAGAUCAACAGGAAGCUACUAAGCAGCUCAACAGGAGACCACAGAAGCUCAACAGGAGACCACAGCAGCUCAACAGGAAGCUACUAAGCAGCUCAACAGGAGACCACAGAAGCUCAACAGGAGACCACAGCAGCUCAACAGGAAGCUACUAAGCAGCUCAACUGGAGACCACAGAAUCUCAACAGGAGACCA